AUCAAUAUACUUAAAAGACAUUUAAUAAUGAUAAUCAUUUUAGGAAAGAUUGUUUACAACAUAACCACUAAAAAUUAUUUAUUUGAUGUAAGGAGACAAUCAACUCGAUAAUAUAUAAACUGAUAAAAUCAUUUGUUACAUGAAAAGAGAAAUAUGGUCGAAUUUGUCAAGUUUGUUCAUGUUAUGAUUAUCUUUCUUUCCUUAUUUCUUUUUGCAAAGAACGUUGUAGGUACGCCAUUUUUAUCAUUUUCAAAUUUCCUUUUUUACUUUUGUGUCCAAUAUUUUAUUAUUUAUUUUAGUUACACUUAUUAUUUAUUUAUGUAUUACAACAGGUAUUAUAUGUUUUCAAGAUUCUGAUUGUCCACAAGAUAUGUGCCCAUAUCCUUUUAAACCGAAGUGUAAUAAUUACGGCUAUUGUACGUGUUAGAAAUAUUUUUCCAUUAGAUUCUAUCUCCACAUAAAUAGCACUUUUGUAAUUCUAGUUUUCUGCAAAGGAUUUCUGUCUAUUCUUGCUACUGUUUUGAGUAUUUCAAUUCUGAAAUAUAAGAAUGAGUAGUCUACUUUACCUUAGGGUUGCAGAGAGUCCCUUGGU
This 592-nucleotide long non-coding RNA is filed under the name Trifolium pratense (red clover). RNAcentral describes it as "long non-coding RNA (TPRA_LNC006462)". The record is from RNAcentral. Lineage: Eukaryota; Viridiplantae; Streptophyta; Magnoliopsida; Fabales; Fabaceae.